AGUGAACGCUGGCGGUAGGCCUAACACAUGCCAGUCGAACGGCAGCACAGUAAGAGCUUGCUCUUACGGGUGGCGAGUGGCGGACGGGUGAGGAAUACAUCGGAAUCUACUUUUUCGUGGGGGAUAACGUAGGGAAACUUACGCUAAUACCGCAUACGACCUACGGGUGAAAGCAGGGGAUCUUCGGACCUUGCGCGAUUGAAUGAGCCGAUGUCGGAUUAGCUAGUUGGCGGGGUAAAGGCCCACCAAGGCGACGAUCCGUAGCUGGUCUGAGAGGAUGAUCAGCCACACUGGAACUGAGACACGGUCCAGACUCCUACGGGAGGCAGCAGUGGGGAAUAUUGGACAAUGGGCGCAAGCCUGAUCCAGCCUUACCGCGUGGGUGAAGAAGGCCUUCGGGUUGUAAAGCCCUUUUGUUGGGAAAGAAAAGCAGCAGGUUAAUACCCCGCUGUUCUGACGGUACCCAAAGAAUAAGCACCGGCUAACUUCGUG
Molecule: ribosomal RNA, 492 nt
Filed under: uncultured bacterium
Lineage: Bacteria
Description: partial 16S ribosomal RNA
Rfam family: Bacterial small subunit ribosomal RNA
Source: RNAcentral